Molecule: long non-coding RNA, 323 nt
Organism: Lactuca sativa (garden lettuce)
Lineage: Eukaryota; Viridiplantae; Streptophyta; Magnoliopsida; Asterales; Asteraceae
Source: RefSeq, a predicted model, not a curated record
AAACAACUAACCAAAUAAUAAGAAUAAGAAGUCGACGAUCAAGUUCAUGUUGAGGGAGAAUUCCAAGUCUAAGUUCAAGAACACGACUAAUACAUCAUUAAACCUAGACGAUGGAGACUCCGUUGCACCUCCUCAAGGUACCUCCGGUAGCGGAUGAUGGAGCUCGGGAUGAUCGCAUGGCACACACCAUAACUUAGACAGCCUGGGAAUGUUUACUCUGAUAACGAAUAUGUAUUUUGGAAACUAACACUUUGUUUAUGUUUGAAAACGAUGAAUUUGCUUAACGUAAUGUUUUAUUAAAUGAAAUUUUUAGUCUUGAAUUU